RNAcentral lists this transfer RNA (72 nucleotides) under Ipomoea nil (Japanese morning glory). It matches the Rfam family "tRNA". Rfam says of the family: Transfer RNA (tRNA) molecules are approximately 80 nucleotides in length. Their secondary structure includes four short double-helical elements and three loops (D, anti-codon, and T loops). The record is from Rfam by way of RNAcentral. Lineage: Eukaryota; Viridiplantae; Streptophyta; Magnoliopsida; Solanales; Convolvulaceae.
GGGGAUGUAGCUCAGAUGGUUGAGCGCUCGCUUCGCAUGCGAGUGUACGGGAAUUGAUACCCCGCAUCUCCA